RNAcentral lists this long non-coding RNA (9699 nucleotides) under Cricetulus griseus (Chinese hamster). RNAcentral describes it as "lncRNA (ENSCGRG00015042756.1)". The record is from RNAcentral. Lineage: Eukaryota; Metazoa; Chordata; Mammalia; Rodentia; Cricetidae.
CCCCCCAUGGGGGCAUGAUCUUAGGGUAAAGUCAAAAUGAAAAUACUGAAUAUAUGGGAGGCCCACUCUGAGUCUCACUGCCUCCCGUGUGCCUGCUACAUGGAAUUCUCAAGAGCCAUGAGCAUCUCACUCACUUCCUAGUCAGAGUGAGUGGCUCGUAGCAUCUUGACAGGAUUGGCACCUGAGAAUAAAAUGCCACCUGAGGACUCCUGGUGGAGCCCUCCAUGAAGCCAUAUCAAGAGUGGCCUUAACUGUGUGCCAGGCAGUGGGAAGUUCUAGGGAAACCUUUGAUGGAUUCUUUGGGGAGGGGGGAUACAGGUUGACACUGUCCCUUGAGCAAAAAGGAGGGAGAACUAGCUGAUGGUGACCAGCCACAUCCUAUGCAAUAGGAGCUUGUGUCCACAUGGUGACACGGUCGGUGACUUCCUUUCUCCUGCCAAUGACAAGGAGACAUCUUGGUGCAGGCCGUGGUGGAAGCAGCUGCUGUCCGAUUGUGCCCUGGGGCAGAGAUCAGGGUCCCUUUGCACCCUUGGGACCAGAUUCCUCUACCAUCACACAAUUUGGUCACACAGGGCUGGGGCAGGAGGACUGGAGGCUGCACAGUGCGGACACAGCACUCCUGAACCAGCUGAGCUCCCUUAGAUAGAAGAGUCCUUGUCAAAUGUGAGUCUCCUCAGUGCUCUGUCCCAGAGGGAACUGAUUGAUGGAGGAGCCGAUGAGCUCAGAGCUGGUGCGGGCAGUCUGGUCGGAUGGUGGUGACUCAAUGGGAAGAAAAGGACAGGAAUGGAGGCCCCUCACCCACACCGGUUGUCAAGCAUUGACAGGAAGAGGCCUGAGGUAUAUGCACAAAGACAGCUUAAUGGCUUUUGGUUAAAGCUCCUUCAGAACAUGCUGAGCUGGGAGAGGCUAGGGGAACCGUGGUGGCCCUGCAGUGGCUAGGACUGCUGGGCUAAAAGGGAGACACAACAGUAGCCAUAGGUUCAGGUGCUCCUCUCCCAGCACCCACCUAGCCCUCGGGGUACUGUGUGUACUCUGUGAAGGAGGUCUCAUUGAGCAAGGUCCCCAGUGCUCUGCCUGGCCCUUGAUGCCUUUAUACCUAGCACAGCUUCCUUGUGAGACCCUCCAAGGAUCUGUAAGCAGGAACCAUCAGGCAGGGAGAAACAGAGAACUGAGGCACACUGGCUAUAUAAGCCAUGUGUCCUGGAAGGUCUGUUGUCAACUUGGGUUGCGCCUAAAGGCAAGGUCACACAUGACUUGGGUUGUUUCUACAAGGAACCCCAAAUGAGACCAACAUGCCAGCCUGGGCUCUCAGGCAACCAGAUCUUCUUCAGGGGACAGCAGAGCAUAGUUUUGGCCUCAGCCAGCUUCUACCAGUAGUUGCCACCUCUAUAGUCUGAGCUUGAAGUCCAAGUAUGCAGUCUCUGCCAGGCAACUCUACUAGCAACUCCAGGGCAUUUCAUUUCCAGCCCAUGAACCAAGCAUACUCCCAACCCAGGUACCACUCUGCCUCUCAGUGAGGGUGAAGAGGUUUGGAAUCAGGUAGCUCUGCCCAUUUGAGGUGCACACCCUCCACAGGCCUGUGUGCACCUGCAUCCUGCCAGCUACAAAGAUCCUAGCAAUGAUGUUGACUCUGGGGCUGGGUGCCUGGCACUGGGAUGAAGAGCUAGGGGUUAGCUUGAGAAAUGUUCUGAUAUGGGUGAUAGGGGGAGGAAUGCCCCAGAGAUGGGUUUCCCUGAAAGUCCCUUUCUUAUAUUUUUGGUUGUAAGCCUAGCCUUUAAUGGCUGAGCCAUCUCUCCAGCCCAAAGUCCCUUUCUUAAAUGGGCUCUCAUUGCAGUGAGAGGCCUGGGGACAAGACAGUGUCUAGAAAUUCUCUUGUGAUGUGACCAGCCCCAGAUGCAGAGUCCAUGUGCCUCAUGUCAAGAUCAGACCCAGGACAGUGAAUCUGAAUGUCUUCAGAGGGGGAAGUGGGUCACUGUGGGGCCUUGGAGCUUCUGGGACAACAAGGGGACAUGUCAGGGAACCCCACAGCUUUUGGUCCUUAGCAAACACCAUGGGCAGAUCCUGCAGGUCUCGGUGGCAACCACCUCAUUGGGCUGAGGCCUGCUGAACUCAGAGGCACCCAAAGAGGCCACCGUGACCUUGAUGAACAGUGUUGUCCUGCUGUAGCAAGAUCCUUGAAACCUGUUGCCUACAUCCCACAUCAUGGCCUGGUUGAUGGCCUCUCUCACACACACACAGAGAGAGAGAGAGAGAGAGAGAGAGAGAGAGAGAGAGAGAGAGAGAGAGAGAGAAACAGCAGAAGAUGAGAGGGAGGAUGAGAGAAAGCCACUGAUUUACCCAUUAAGAAAAUUUGUGGAGAAUACUGCAUAGGAACCGAGGACCACGGUGAUCAGCAUCUCAGGAUUCAGGCGAAUGCAUGAUGUGUGUGUCCUACUCUUCCAGGGAUCCUCCUCUUGCCCCAUCUUGAGCUGGGAAGUGCUGGGCUGGGGGCCAGCAAAACACUCUGGCUCUGAUAGUGGACUCAUUUUUAACUGGUAUUAUUUUAUUAGCAGCUUUACUCAACCGGUUGGCAGCACCCCAACCCAGCCACCAGCCGACGACCCAGCUACAGGUGUGUAGGGAGGGCUCUGCCCAACUCUUCCAUUUAUAUACCCAGCCAGCAUGCUCCCCAUUUCCAGCGUCUCCCCUACUAAGCACUCUACAACACCCCACCCUUCCAGACUCAGCCCUGGGAAGGACAUCAAAUAGGCUGACUGCCAACUCCAUCCCUGGGAACUUGGGUGCUGACAGGGGCUGGGGUGGGUAAUACUCUGGCUAUAGAUAGAUUCAGGUGUCUGACUGGAGGCUGUCCCCAGUGAAAGCUGUGGCCCAAAGCCUGUUUUCUGACAGGAGAGAUUCCCCCAGCCUAUCAAGCCAAAGACCCCAGGGGCCUGCUCUUUGUCAGUCACUAUCACCUCCUAAAUUAAGCCUCUGAUGGAAACAAGCCUCACGUACGUCACACUCCAAAUUAAACUAUUAAUGUGUUCCACUCAGGCCUCAAACACAGGACCUGCCUGUCCACCAAGGUGACAAGGCCCACUCUGCUUAUUGCUUCUCACCUGGGAAGUUACUGCAGAGUGUAAAUGUGGCAUAUAACUCUUGGAGACCGGCUGGAGCUGGAACAGCUUAUCAAAGCCUUUGGUGAUAUCUCACAACAGAGGUCUGGGGGCAUCAGGAGAUGGUGUCUGCUGGGACAUUUGGUUGGAGACAGGAGUCCAGAUUCUAUGUUAGGAGAUAUAGACGCUGCUUUUCUUCAGCUCUUGUGUCGGAAAGAAGUUGGCAGGCCAUGGGAAAGUGUCCAGGGUGGAGCACAUGGUCUUGGGAGAGAAUGAGGCCAACAUGGGCAGCAGGUCUGCUUUUUCCACUCAGCUGGGAGCCUUCCUGAGACUGGAAGAGGCUGGUCUUUGAGGGCAGAGCCAAUGUAGAUUGGGCACCAAUAGGACAUCUGGUCAUGACAGUAUCUAUGUAUCUGGUUUAGGCAUACUUAAAGCCAGUAAUACUCCAGACUGAGUUACAACUCCCCAGGUCCCUCUCUGUCAGGCCAGUUUGGGUUUGGUUUUCCAUCACUUCCAAGUGAAGAAGACCUGCCGGCCUUCGAGUUCUAGGGGGUAGUGUGUGGGGCAGACCCCGCUCAUGUCAGGUGGUGGAAAAGACACCAUAGUCUGUCUCAUAACAAGAAAAACAGCAGACAAAUCCAAACCAAGGGCCAUUCUGUAAAGUACUGGCAUGUCACCAAGACUAUCAUUGCUAAUUUUUUAAAGAGGGACAUUCCAUGGACGAUCACAGCUCUGAGGACAUGGGGCAUCUGAGUGUCAUGUGGGGCUCUGGGACAGAGAAGGACAGCAGAAAAAAGUUGCUGGAUUCCCACCGUGGUGAGAUGUACAUGAAGAUAUCUCACUAAGUUGAUGUGAGGGUGACUACCGGCUUGGGGACUCUACACCUUUCACCUGAAACUAUUCCAAAAGUGGAAAGUGUCCUUGAAAUGGGAGGAAAGUGGAACCGAUUGCUCCUUCAGAGGUGAGUGUCUGUCCAUCCAGUCCGUAAGAGUGAGAAGCUGUGGCAGGUGCUCUCAGAUUUAUUACCACCUCCGGGAUUCUGAGGAAGAGCCUGCAAAAUACUUGCAACACUCCACUAGGGGGAGCUAUGAGCACCAAAUUGCUUUAUGAGGGCAAAGUCGGCUGUGGGAAAAUGUCACUAACAAAUGCCUUUCCUGGAUUCGGUGGGUAGGUGGGUGUCACAGCAGGCCGUUCUCAAAGCGUAACAGCUAUCUGAAUGAAAUACUGGAGGUGUGGGGGCCUCUGCAAGACAGGCAGCUGACCGCCCCUUCCCCCAGCCUUCCCAGGGUUACAGACAGCAGAAUUCCCAGACAGACUAGGCCUCUGUGGGGGCGGUUUCAUCAGAGACCCCCGGGGUACACUGCUGCAGCCACCCUGUCCUGGUGCCCAGCCCCAAGGCUGAGCCGCUGGUUGGCUGUGGCCAUCGAGCCCCCUUACAGUAAUCGUUGUGAUGAUGCUAAAUGUGUAGAGACUGCUUUCCCGGAAAACUGCUGACUUGCUCGUCUGGGAAGGGGAGGUGGUGAGAGACAGCCUGAUCCAUUCGACGCCUGAUGGCUCAGACCUUAAUCAAUCCCUCCUCUCGAAGCUAAAACAGUUGUGAUUUAUGAAAUCCUGCAAGUCGGAUCUCACGCAUUCUGAGCAGCAAAGAGGCACGCUCACCCGAUACCCUGCCAGGCAUGGCUUGUUUGCCUCCUCCAGACUUCUCUGAGAUUCUGGACCUGCUUUCCCUGGUCCCCCAGUCUUUGAGUUCAAUAGGGAACACAGCAAACGAACAUUCUGUGUCUCCCUGGGAUCUGCCACACCCUCCCCGGCAGCCUUCAAGGGACUGACCUGCCUCAUCACCUUCAUCAUCCAGCAGACUCUUGGGCAGUGACACAGGUUCACACGGUUCAGCGGAGGCUCUGAUCCUGACCCUAGCCUGGGACCAUUCUUUAUGCACAGUGAGAUGCCAACUGAGGAAAAAGCCAUUCUCUCAUUUGUGGAGGACAAACACAUUUUUAUUGGUAUGUUGCUCAGAAAUGACAGGAAAUACCAGCUUCUAUCCAGCUUCAAUUUGUCUCACGAGACAGUGUGCAUACGAGCACACAGGGGCGUGCUGUGUGCUGUGGGCGUGUGGAGGCCAGAGAUCAAGUCCAGGGGUCUUCCUCUAUCACUCUCCACCUUAUGUUUUGAGGUCGGGUCUCUCACUGAACCUAGAGCUUGUCGAUUUGGCUAGACUGGGCAGUGAGCUCCAGGGAUCCUUCUCCCUGUCCCUUCCACGUGAGCUGCUUCUCCUGGCUUUUUAACAUGGCUGCUGGGACUAUGGACUCAGAUCCUCAUACUUGCAUAGCAGAUACUCAGUUGGGCCAUCUUCCCCGCCCAGGCUUCAAUUGAAUUUUGUUUGAAAGGUAGACACAGUCACAGAGAAACGGACAAAAGAUUGGAAACUGUCCUUUUCACAAGCAAUAUGCUCAUGACAAAUGCUGACUUUAGUAUGAAUCCAAGGCACACUGUGAGAGAAUGAAUUCUCUUCUGUCAGAUUUUAAUUGUGAAGCCACAGAACUGACAAAGGGCCUGCUGGUGAGAAAAUCAACUUGACUGUCUUUCUGUAAAACGAAAGUUCUAAGGGUUCAUUUAGACACAGUGCACCACAGUUUCAGUAAAAUCUUCACAACAGACUGUGUCUUCCCUGGGAUCUGCCACACCCUCCCCAGCAGCCGUCAAGGGACCGACCUGACUCAUCACUUUCAUCAACCAGUAGACUCUUGGAUGGUGACACAGGUUCACAUGGUUCAGUGGAGACGCUGGGCCUGACCAGACAUUGAAUUUAACAUUCAGAGCUUGGAAUGAUCCUUGUGAGUUAAGUAAAUUAUGAUAAGAAAAUGUGUAGCUACAGUGUCAGAGAAAGUGUUAACUGAUAUGAAGCAAUAUCCAAAAUAUACUAAAUGGAGGGGACCCGAGGGGUAGUGCAGUGGGUAAAGGCACUUGCUGAGGAAACCUGCCAAACAUAGUUCAAUCCCUGAAACCAAUGUCAGUGCUUGUGUGGGAGUAUCCUGGAUAACUUCAGUGAUACGGUAAAAUGCGUCUCAAUUACAGGUGGGACCAUUCUCUGGUGUGUAUAAGUAGAGAAGGGGUACUGUGCAUCCCUUGCUUCUUCCCAUGACCAGCCGCUUUAGGCUCCCGUUGCCUUGACCUCCCGCUGUGAUGACUGAUUGUGCGUACCUUGAACUGUGAACUGGGAUAAACCCUUUCUCCCUUAAGUUGCUUUUGCUGGUGCAAUUUAUCACAGCAACAGGAAGGUAACCAAGAUGCAGACAAAAGGAGAACAGGGUCUUAGAUUUCUACACACAAGUUCCUUAUAGAAUUGCUCACAACAGCUGGGGCAGAAGCAGCCCAGAGCCCAUCAGUGGGUGAAUGAGACAACACAAUAUAUCAUCCACACAGAGUAUCUCUCAUCUCUGAGGAUGAGGGGUGUUUUGACAACCAUUACAGCACAAGUGAACACUGAGGGCACGAUGAAGAGAGAAAUAAGCCGGACACAAAAGGACAAAUGCUGCAUGAUCCAUCAACUUGAAUUCCCUGGAGCCACCAAAUGUAGAGACUGCAAGAAGAAUGAUGCCUAUCAGGAAAUAGGGACAGGGUGAUGGAGACUUGUGUCCAGGCUCUAGGAGAGGGUGAUGGAGACUGGUGUCCAGGCUCUAGGGAGAGGGUGACGGAGACUGGUGUCCUGGCACUAGGAGAGGGUGAUGGAGACUGGUGUCCAGGCACUAGGAGAGGGUGAUGGAGACUGAUGUCCAGGCUCUAGGGAGAAAGUGAUGGAGACUGGUGUCCAGGCUCUAGGGAGAGGGUGUUGGAGACUGGUGUCUAGUGGGGAUAGAGCCUCAGUGAGGGAAGGUGAUCACUCUGGAGCUAAAGGGUGGUGAGGGUUUCACAACAGGAACUGAGUACCCUCAGCUGUGCAUUAGAAAUGAUGAGAUGCAUAAGCCUAGCACUAUAUAUGUCUCCCCAGAAUAAAAACCUACACUAAUGGUUUAACUACAACAAAACCCAAGCACAGACAGGCGGCUGAUGCAUUUCAAAACCAGAUUUAGCUGUGUUCUAGGGGGGGGGGGAUGAUGCCAUUACCAAAGCAGAGCACUUGAUUAUGGUUCUGGGUCAGAUUUCUCAGCUCUUGAAGCCCUGUUAUCCAUCUGUGUGGAGGAGGAAAGGGCUCACACCACAGCUUGCUGUAAAGGUCAGAGCCCGACUGUACAUGCAAUGUGCUGAGCUUGCGAGGCCAUAGCUCCCACUGUACAGCUGUUCUCGCUGUGUUCCAUGGCCCAUCUGACCCUUGGACAUGUGGACUCCAGGCUCUAUGGCCUCAGUCUGGCAAGCCAGUAAAAGACAGUGGGUUUUGCUCUGAAUCUGUGAACUCAGGUCUUAGAAGAAACCAGGGAUAGGGUGGCAGGGGAGGUGAUUUUAGCAUGUGCUUCUCACAUGUCAAAAUGGGAUGAAGAUAGAAGACACCAACUGCAAAGGAAGGGCUUCCACAUGAGUCAGAGGGGGCCCUAGAUAUCAAGGACCUCAGGCCAGCAGCUGCUGUAUCCAAGUGCUGGGCACCCAAGUGGGCAUCUCAGCUAAAGCUGCCAGCGCAGAAUUCCCAUGUGUGAGAAGCUUGGGGGCGUCUGUUGUUGGUGUUCCGGAAGGCCUUCCCCAAGCUUCCCAGCAGAGCGAGAAAUGUAAGAGUGAGAGGGGAUGACAUGGGGGCUGAAUACAGAGACAGCCAUCCAAUGAGACCUUGCUGGGGUCCCCUGAGACUCACAUGAAUACUUGGCCGUCUGUGUAGCUCUGGGACCCUCCUAAUAGGUCUACCCUGGCAAGCCCAGAAUCGGUUUUUACAUCUAGGCUCCAUCUAGCCCAGACAUGCCAACACAGAUGCCUGGUGGAUGCUGGUGAGCAGAACACUGCCCCAGAUCCUAGUUAGAGUAUAUUUGCCCGAGGGACACAUCCUCUAUUAGCCGCAGGGGAAUAAGGCUUCAGGGACUCCACGGCAUGGCUAGGCCAAUCGGAAGCUGGGAAAGGAGGCUCUUGUGAGAUUUCUGCAGGACAGUGGAGUUUCUGCACUCUGGGGCCUACCCAGCCUGUGCACCAGGGUCUGACAUGCCCAUGCUGGACUGGAGCCUCUCUCCACCUGGCAUUCUGAGAUUAUUGCUUAUCCCAUCUACUCUGUUUAGGGUGCCCAGUGAGAAUCCUGAGGGCCACAGAUCUUCUCACUCCUCCUGAGUGAUGAGGCAUCAGAGAGAGUCCCAGGAAAGUUUCUGGCAGGUGCCCCAGGAUUUCCAUGCAGUGUAGACACUCUCACUGGCUCCCUCCAGCAAGGCUGGAGUGCCCGGGCUCAGCUGAGACACUUCCGCCCUCUGCUGGCAGAUAUGGGUACUACAGGGAAGGACUAGUGAGAAAAGCUGCCUGCAGGUGCUGGAGACUGAGAGCCUCCAGGAAUCUCAGGGCUUUACCAGGUCCGACAAGACCCAGCCCUGAGGCACAAAGGAGAAAGUUGGGGGAACUUAUUGGGUCCCAGAGCCAGAAAAGGGAACAAGAGUAGCCUACAGGGCUGGGAUUCUCUGUGCCACUUAGAGUCCCACUUUCUUACGAGUGGCAAGGUGGACAACAUUUUUCUAGUUGGAGAAACCGGGACGUUGAGAAGCAGGUGCCUUUGUGGGUUCCAGAUUGAAGCUCACUCUGGGGCCCGUGACAGGCUUGGGGAGGAGUGAGAGCAACAAUAGCAAUAAGCCAGGGAUGAAGCUAACCCUGGGGCUGCCGCUGUUGGGGCCACGUUCCCACAGCAUGACAGCAGCACAGGUCAGGAUGCCCUGGGAGAGGACUGGCCAUGCCAGACGUCUAGAGCUGACUCUGGAGUCCUUCUCAUGGAGACAAAGCGGUAUUUAAGACAUGCAGGUUCUAGGGUUCACUGUGGCCUUAUGCAUGGCAGAGCCCGCCUCCAUGAAGUUCACUCUAGGCCAAGCAGAGCCCUGAGCCUCAGCUUGAUCACAAUAGAGCCCGUAUGAGUCCCUCACCCACACAUGAGAACACAGGGCCCACACUGCGCAUGGCUGUCAGUCCCUCUGCUGUAAACAAGACUGGUUUAAAGUCAAGGUUUCCCUGGGUUGUAAGCCCUGGUUAUCCUCCUAAGAGAAUCAUGGGGCCUACAGGUGUUGCCCAUCAGUGCAUUCUCAAAAUCCAGGAUCCAUCGUGUCCCCAGCUUAUUUCUGGAGCUGGCAUGCACAUACUUGCCUUGCCACCCCUGGCCUCCCAGAAGCACCAGAGUUCUGAGCAUCCAGUAUCCUGUGACCGGCUCCUACUGGCCGCUGGAUCUCCAUACGACUAAAGCAUGCCUGGGCCAGACUCCAGCCUCACCAGGAUACCACAGGAUCCAGGACCAAACAGCGCCAGCUGUUUUACCACAAGCCCCAGUGUCUGGCGAUAAUGUGAGACCCAUAUGACUUUCCAGUGCAUAGAAUCCAGGAGAAAUUUAAUUAAAAUUGUUUUUUCUCUCACAGUUUUGUGACUAGAUCCCAGGGCCUUGUGUCUAUGAACCAAGUGCUCUAGCACUGAACCACAUCCCCAGCCUGAAAGACUUUUUUUUUUU